CAGCAGCCGCGGUAAUACGUAGGUGGCAAGCGUUGUCCGGAAUUAUUGGGCGUAAAGGGCUCGCAGGCGGUUUCUUAAGUCUGAUGUGAAAGCCCCCGGCCCAACCGGGGAGGGUCAUUGGAAACUGGGAAACUUGAGUGCAGAAGAGGAGAGUGGAAUUCCACGUGUAGCGGUGAAAUGCGUAGAGAUGUGGAGGAACACCAGUGGCGAAGGCGACUCUCUGGUCUGUAACUGACGCUGAGGAGCGAAAGCGUGGGGAGCGAACAGGAUUAGAUACCCGAGUAGUCCCUGUCUCUUAUAA
Molecule: ribosomal RNA, 301 nt
Filed under: uncultured bacterium
Lineage: Bacteria
Description: partial 16S ribosomal RNA
Rfam family: Bacterial small subunit ribosomal RNA
Source: RNAcentral